UAGAUACUUAAUGCAAAAUGUUUUAGCAUCCAAACAUUUUCUUCAUAUAAAUAAAAGUAAUUGUAACCUUCAAACAAGUUCCUUUCUCCAUCUUUCUCAACCAGAGUUUCCCGAUAUCAAAUUAGACAAAACUAUCAGGGAGCAUUAUUAUGCACUUACAUAUUGGGAUAUUGAAGGAAACUAAUAUAAAUAAUUAAGGGCUU
This 203-nucleotide long non-coding RNA is filed under the name Elaeis guineensis (African oil palm). RNAcentral's name for it is "long non-coding RNA (EGUI_LNC020189)". The record is from RNAcentral. Lineage: Eukaryota; Viridiplantae; Streptophyta; Magnoliopsida; Arecales; Arecaceae.